AUGUACAGCAUAAUCAAAUCAUAUAUAUAAAUAGGAAUAUCAUUCACAUGUUUAUUCAUGACAAAAAGCAUUCGACAUCAAUUUGACUUAUAAGUUAAAAAUUAAGUUAAAACAAGUUAUGAAGGUGUUCGGCUCAUAAUGAUUUAUAAGUUAAAAUAAAUAUAAAGAUUAUUAAAAAGGGCAUUAAUAAAAGAGUACUUC
This 201-nucleotide long non-coding RNA is filed under the name Panax ginseng (ginseng). RNAcentral describes it as "long non-coding RNA (PGIN_LNC002188)". Lineage: Eukaryota; Viridiplantae; Streptophyta; Magnoliopsida; Apiales; Araliaceae. The record is from RNAcentral.